AUUGAACGCUGGCGGCAGGCCUAACACAUGCAAGUCGAGCGGAUGAAGGGAGCUUGCUCCUGGAUUCAGCGGCGGACGGGUGAGUAAUGCCUAGGAAUCUGCCUGGUAGUGGGGGAUAACGUCCGGAAACGGGCGCUAAUACCGCAUACGUCCUGAGGGAGAAAGUGGGGGAUCUUCGGACCUCACGCUAUCAGAUGAGCCUAGGUCGGAUUAGCUAGUUGGUGGGGUAAAGGCCUACCAAGGCGACGAUCCGUAACUGGUCUGAGAGGAUGAUCAGUCACACUGGAACUGAGACACGGUCCAGACUCCUACGGGAGGCAGCAGUGGGGAAUGUUGGACAAUGGGCGAAAGCCUGAUCCAGCCGUGCCGCGUGUGUGAAGAAGGUCUUCGGAUUGUAAAGCACUUUAAGUUGGGAGGAAGGGCAGUAAGUUAAUACCUUGCUGUUUUGACGUUACCAACAGAAUAAGCACCGGCUAACUUCGUG
This 484-nucleotide ribosomal RNA is filed under the name uncultured bacterium. RNAcentral's name for it is "partial 16S ribosomal RNA". It matches the Rfam family "Bacterial small subunit ribosomal RNA", at positions 30 to 507 of the family's 1533-position model. The record is from RNAcentral.